AUGCCCACGCUCGCCUUCCACGGGAUGAACGUCGCCCGUCUCCAACGCUCGCCCCCAGUGUGGAUUGCCGCCACCUACCACUACUGCUCACCACGCGAAUCUGCCAUUCUUCCACAAUAUAUGGACGAGCGCCUUCACAUAGUACCCCUACAACUCCUCUGCUCGGCCGCUGCCGCACGGACGCGGUUGCAGUCGUCGUCGCCGUCAGCCGCUCCACCACUCGGCUGCUGCUGCAAGGAUGCGGUCAGCGCCGGCCUCUCCUGGAGCGCGGGUCGUCGCCGCCCGCCGCUCGGCUGCUGCCCCAUGGACACGCUCGCCCACACCCCUAGAGCCGCUGGCCUCUCCUGGAGCGCGGGUCGUCGUUGCCGCCGGCCGCCGCCACACGCGGCGCAUUGA
This 396-nucleotide ribosomal RNA is filed under the name Triticum aestivum (bread wheat). RNAcentral's name for it is "partial small subunit ribosomal RNA". The record is from RNAcentral. Lineage: Eukaryota; Viridiplantae; Streptophyta; Magnoliopsida; Poales; Poaceae.